CGGGAUAGUGUUAUUGCCCACGCUUUUAAGCGUCGGCAAUAGAGAUUUUUUUAAAAAAAAAAUUCAUAAAAAGAAAUGUGAAACCUGUAUACAAAUUUAUAAAACAAAUUUUUCCAGCACAGCAAACACACAACCUAUUAUUCCAUCACAAAAGUCACAUCACAAACAAAAUUUUUUAUUAAAAGCUAAUCAUAUUAUCAUAUUUGAUUACAUUGUACUUUAAAAAUAUUAAAAACAUACAUAGCAAAUUUCUAAAUAAACAGUCUACGAGGACUCAAGGGUCGACGGCAUCAUCAUCUCUACGAGUAGAAGUAUCAGCAACCUACAAGAAAAAAAAACUUUAGAAACUAAGAAUACAAAAAUCAUUACGCUCGUACAAGAAUAUACUAUAAUUACAUAAAAUAUAGAUUUAUGUAAUUAUUGAUGAUUACAUAAAUCGUUUUCCUCGGGGCAUAUUGUUACCUGGUAUGCACAAAAAAGAAUUAAUAUUAGUUAAUUGAUAAAUUUAUACUAAAUGAAUUGCUAAUAAAAGAGAACACAAUAAUUCAUUCAACCAGAUAAAUUAGCAUAUGCAGGAAAAAGACAAGCAAUAAUGUAGGACAAAGAGUGUGGGGACUAACCAUUUCACAACUAUGAAGAAGAAAGUUGCCAAGAAAAAUAAAUAUCUAGCAACUAAUAAUCCUGUAUCAAGUCUGAUGGCAAAAUCAGAUAGUUAUUAACCAUGCAGCGAAAUAAGGGCAGCUUUGGUUUAAAAGUGAACUAGACCUUAGUCGCUUGCGUAGAAGUAGUAUCAAAGGAUUGUUCUACUUGCCUGUAAAGGAGAAGCAUAAGAAGCUUGUAAACGAGAGUAGAUUUAUGCAAAAUUUACAUUGCAGAGAAAAGUAGGGAGAAAUUGGGAAAAGAAUCAGAUAAUCACAAUGAAUGGCAAAAAUUAUAUAAAAAUGGAUAGGAUAAAAUUAUUACACUACCUUUCCCAUAGACAAGAGAUGAAUAUGCGUUCUUUCUAGACAUUACUGAACCUGAAGCACUGCAUGAUCAAUUACAUGACUGGAGCUAGCAGUGCAAUCAGCAUUGUUUUGGCAUACAAUNNNNNNNNNNNNNNNNNNNNNNNNNNNNAGAAGCUAUAUCACAAGAGAUUUAUCAGAACAAUUUAAAGAAUUUAACGAUGUGGUUCAAAGUUCACUAGUCACACGUUGUAGAGAGACAGCCUUGAAGAAGUUCCACAGUUAAAAGAUGCCUUGAAAGUGGUUGCGUACCUUUCUGCCAUUGAUGCCAUG
RNAcentral lists this long non-coding RNA (1277 nucleotides) under Phoenix dactylifera (date palm). RNAcentral's name for it is "long non-coding RNA (PDAC_LNC008137)". Lineage: Eukaryota; Viridiplantae; Streptophyta; Magnoliopsida; Arecales; Arecaceae. The record is from RNAcentral.